Molecule: ribosomal RNA, 484 nt
Filed under: uncultured bacterium
Lineage: Bacteria
Description: partial 16S ribosomal RNA
Rfam family: Bacterial small subunit ribosomal RNA
Source: RNAcentral
AUUGAACGCUGGCGGAAUGCUUUACACAUGCAAGUCGAACGGCAGCACGGGGGCAGCCCUGGUGGCGAGUGGCGAACGGGUGAGUAAUACAUCGGAACGUGCCCGGUCGUGGGGGAUAACGUAGCGAAAGUUACGCUAAUACCGCAUACGAUCUGAGGAUGAAAGCGGGGGACCUUCGGGCCUCGCGCGAUCGGAGCGGCCGAUGUCAGAUUAGGUAGUUGGUGGGGUAAAGGCCUACCAAGCCGACGAUCUGUAGCUGGUCUGAGAGGACGACCAGCCACACUGGAACUGAGACACGGCCCAGACUCCUGCGGGAGGCAGCAGUGGGGAAUUUUGGACAAUGGGCGCAAGCCUGAUCCAGCCAUUCCGCGUGCAGGACGAAGGCCUUCGGGUUGUAAACUGCUUUUGUACGGAACGAAAAGGCUCUGGCUAAUACCUGGGGCUCAUGACGGUACCGGAAGAAUAAGCACCGGCUAACUACGUG